CCAAAACGGGGACAAAAGUUGGAUCAGAGCCAGAGUUUCGAGGCCUUUCUUGUUUUUCUGUGCCCUAAUGCCACGUAGGCCACGAGGAAGACUAUCUUUGCCAUUGCUACUACCCCACAUACUACGGAUGAACGACGUUCCUCCAUACCAAUAACCGUCUGUCACCAUGCGGGUAAAUUUAUUAAAUCAAAUUCGGGUGGAAAAUAUACCAAAUGAGCUGCAAUAUUAAUUGGUUCUAGUUUAUUAUUCAAUUUUAUCUGCUAAGAUGAUUCUGAGUUUUAUUUUUUCAAGUUGAACACCAUGUAAUCAUUCAUGGAUUGCCAUUUUUAAUAUAAAACAAUGCAUUGAAUUCACAAAAUUGGAUCACGUCAAAAAUUUAAAAACCACGACCAAGAAAGAUCGACAUUGUUCUCUUUAGCUAUUUUCGAU
Molecule: long non-coding RNA, 429 nt
Filed under: Physcomitrium patens
Lineage: Eukaryota; Viridiplantae; Streptophyta; Bryopsida; Funariales; Funariaceae
Description: long non-coding RNA (PPAT_LNC007774)
Source: RNAcentral